AUGGUGUCACAUUACGAGUUUUUGAGCCGAAUACAUUUUAGACAGUGCUCCCAAGAAAAGAUCAACAGGUGGUUGAUGAAAGAAGGCCUACUUUCACAAUCAAUGAAAUGCCCCUCGUCGUAAUGCGAUGAAGUUGAAGUUUCCCUACGGAAAAAGGCAGGCAGCAUGGAUAUGCCGAGAUUCAUGUCAUAAAGGAAAAUCAGUCUCUAGGUCCAUCCGAACUGGCUCCAUGUUUGAGAAUUCUCAUGUUCAACUACAAACGUGGAUGCAUUUCAUCUACAGAUUUGCCCAAGGCCUUCGAUUGCGACAAGUGGACAUGCUGCAAGAAGGGAUUACUCGAAGCUCUGCAACUCUGAGUAAUCUUGCAGACAAGCUGCGAAGAAUUUGCAAAUGUGCAAUGAAAAGAAUGAGAAGAAGAGGCAAGCAGACUG
Osmerus eperlanus (European smelt) is the source of this 431-nucleotide long non-coding RNA. RefSeq lists it as uncharacterized. The transcript has 3 exons. NCBI's taxonomy places the organism in Eukaryota, Metazoa, Chordata, Actinopteri, Osmeriformes, Osmeridae. The record is from RefSeq and is a predicted model, not a curated record.